GAGCUCGGCCCCUGACGAGCCCGAACUCGUCAACUUCCUGUCGGUACUUGAAGAAGCGGAGCCAGGGCUGAGAUCCCGAAGGCGGGCGAGGUCUGGGAUGGGGCGGGGCCUAUGGGAGCGGGGCUGAAGCCCUGGGCCCGGCAGAGGAAGGUCGAGAUGGACCAUGUUGGGCCCCUUCUCUCCCCGCCCCCAGGCCGCAGUUCGGGGGCCACGCCCCGGCGUGCUCGGGUCACCGCGGGAAGCCCUUGAACCCCCUGGCGCCCGGCACCCACGUGCGGUAACCGCGGCUCCUCGAGAGCUCCAGGGAUGCGGAUCUACAGCCUUGGGGAUGAAGGUGAGAAAUUCGAGAAUCCCCGGAGAUAACACAUCAGCAAAUAGUGCGCAGGCAGAACAAGCUGUUGGAGGUGAGAGACACAGAGCAGAGAAGCACCCGCACCUGGAGAGUCAGGAGGGCCUCACAUCAGAACGCCUGAGCAAAUACAGUUUUGAAGGAUACUAAUUUUUUAAAAAGUUCAUUCACAUGAGUUAGACAAAGAGAAAGAAGCAGGACAUUCUAGGAAGAAGGAACGGCCCAGGCAAAAGCGACGCGUACAUUGGCGUGGGUCCAUUCAAGAAUUGUGCCCACAAUAUACCAGGCACUUGUCCAGACCUGCAUCGUCCAAUGCCCACCUCGACCUCCCAAAGUGUUGGGAUUAGAGGCGUGAGCCACCGCGCCCUGCCUGCAUGUGGCUAUUGAGAUGUGCUGUAUGAUACACACCGGACUUUGAAGACUCAGUGUGAAAAAUAAAAAGAAUUUUAAGAGGGGUGGGGGUCGAGGGGAGGCAGAGCAGUAGGACAAAUAGCUAAUGCACGCAGGGCUUAAAACCUAGACAACAGGUUGAUGGGUGCAGCAAACCACCAUGACACAUGUUUAUCUAUAUAGCACCUACAUGUUCUGCACUUGUAUCCUGGAACUUAAAAUUAGAAAAAAAAAAUAAUAAAAGCCAACAUGGCAUUCAUUACUGCCAAAAAAAUUAAAACACAUUGUUAAUUUUGUAUAUUGAUUACAGGUUGAACUGAUAAUAUUUUGAAUAUAUUGGGUUAAAGAAAUACAUUUAAAAUUAGUGGCUAGGCACAGUGGCUCAUGCCUGUAACCCCAGCACUUUGGGAGGCUGAGG
Molecule: long non-coding RNA, 1157 nt
Filed under: Homo sapiens (human)
Lineage: Eukaryota; Metazoa; Chordata; Mammalia; Primates; Hominidae
Description: non-protein coding RNASEH1-AS1:4
Source: RNAcentral